RNAcentral lists this ribosomal RNA (585 nucleotides) under Triticum aestivum (bread wheat). RNAcentral's name for it is "partial small subunit ribosomal RNA". The record is from RNAcentral. Lineage: Eukaryota; Viridiplantae; Streptophyta; Magnoliopsida; Poales; Poaceae.
AUGUGUGCGUUCCAAAGCAAGGGGCAGGGAUUCUUCUAUAUUCCUGAUUUUAGCAUUGAUAGGCAAGCUAGGGAGAGGAUCUUUAACGUGAUUGUUACUAUCACUGAGGGGGCUGCUCCGACCAAAGAUAUAGAACAUGAAUUAAGCAUCUAUGUGGGAGAGGGUUGGAGAUGUUCUGCUAGGUUUUUUGCACCUCAAAAAUUUGUGAUGAGGAUGCCUAAUCCUAGGGAAGUGGAUCGUGCUUUGUUUGUGGAAAAUGUGAGACUGAAGCAGUGUGGAGUUUCAGUUAAGUUUUCUCCUUGGUCUGAAGAUAUUGAAUCUGAGGGCCUGUUGGAAAUUGCUUGGGUUCGAAUUGGGAAGAUCCCUCCGAACAAGAGAUGUGAUAGGACUGUGGCCUAUGUGGGUGGAUUAGUGGGCAUUACUCUUGAGGUAGAUAUGUCUACUAUAAACCGUUCCUCGUCUGUUAGAGCCAAAAUUGGAUGUCGCUCUGUUGAUCAGCUGCCUGCUACGGCAGAAGGUGUCCUGGGGGGCGUUUCUAUAAGUUUACCUAUGAGGUGGAAGAAGUUCUUGUCAGGAAUCCUGUGA